RNAcentral lists this ribosomal RNA (253 nucleotides) under uncultured bacterium. RNAcentral describes it as "partial 16S ribosomal RNA". It matches the Rfam family "Bacterial small subunit ribosomal RNA", at positions 524 to 776 of the family's 1533-position model. The record is from RNAcentral.
GACGUAGGGCGCGAGCGUUGUCCGGAUUUAUUGGGCGUAAAGAGCUCGUAGGCGGCUUGUCGCGUCGUCCGUGAAAACUUGGGGCUCAACCCCAAGCUUGCGGUCGAUACGGGCAGACUAGAGUUCGGUAGGGGAGACUGGAAUUCCUGGUGUAGCGGUGAAAUGCGCAGAUAUCAGGAGGAACACCGGUGGCGAAGGCGGGUCUCUGGGCCGAUACUGACGCUGAGGAGCGAAAGCGUGGGGAGCAAACAGG